Molecule: ribosomal RNA, 301 nt
Filed under: uncultured bacterium
Lineage: Bacteria
Description: partial 16S ribosomal RNA
Rfam family: Bacterial small subunit ribosomal RNA
Source: RNAcentral
CAGCCGCCGCGGUAAUACGAAGGGGGCUAGCGUUGUUCGGAAUUACUGGGCGUAAAGGGCGCGUAGGCGGCCAUUCAAGUUAGAUGUGAAAGCCCUGGGCUCAACCUAGGAAUUGCAUUUGAUACUGUUUGGCUUGAGUUCGGGAGAGGUGAGUGGAAUUCCCAGUGUAGAGGUGAAAUCCGUAGAUAUUGGGAAGAACACCAGUGGCGAAGGCGGCUCACUGGACCGACACUGACGCUGAGGCGCGAAAGCGUGGGGAGCAAACAGGAUUAGAUACCCGCGUAGUCCAUGUCUCUUAUAA